ACAUCAUGCAAUACAUGUUCAUGCCUCACAAAUAUGCAAAUUAUGCAACUCUUAGUCAUUCUUUACCAUUAGCCUUUUUUUAGAAUAUGCAAUUCUUUAUUAUUAGCCAUUCUUUAUUUUUUAAUCUUUAUUCUUUAUUCUUUAUUCUUUAUGCUUUAUUCUUUGUUCUUUAUCCUUUACUAAGGGCACUCGUGCCUUAGGCUCAUCAUACACAUUUGCCAUUCUUUAUAACAUUAACAAGUCUUUCUCAAUUAUCACUCUUUCCUAAGGUUACAUUUACCUUAGCCAACUAUGCCACUCG
This 301-nucleotide long non-coding RNA is filed under the name Ananas comosus (pineapple). RNAcentral describes it as "long non-coding RNA (ACOM_LNC041186)". The record is from RNAcentral. Lineage: Eukaryota; Viridiplantae; Streptophyta; Magnoliopsida; Poales; Bromeliaceae.